CAGUAGCCACGGUAAUACGUAGGUGGCAAGCGUUAUCCGGAAUUAUUGGGCGUAAAGCGCGCGUAGGCGGUUUCUUAAGUCUGAUGUGAAAGCCCACGGCUCAACCGUGGAGGGUCAUUGGAAACUGGGAAACUUGAGUGCAGAAGAGGAAAGUGGAAUUCCAUGUGUAGCGGUGAAAUGCGCAGAGAUAUGGAGGAACACCAGUGGCGAAGGCGACUUUCUGGUCUGUAACUGACGCUGAUGUGCGAAAGCGUGGGGAUCAAACAGGAUUAGAUACCCGCGUAGUCCCUGUCUCUUAUAA
Molecule: ribosomal RNA, 301 nt
Filed under: uncultured bacterium
Lineage: Bacteria
Description: partial 16S ribosomal RNA
Rfam family: Bacterial small subunit ribosomal RNA
Source: RNAcentral